AGCAGUAGCCGCGGGAACACGUAGGUGGCAAGCGUUGUCCGGAAUUAUUGGGCGUAAAGCGCGCGCAGGCGGAUCGGUCAGUCUGUCUUAAAAGUUCGGGGCUUAACCCCGUGAUGGGAUGGAAACUGCCAAUCUAGAGUAUCGGAGAGGAAAGUGGAAUUCCUAGUGUAGCGGUGAAAUGCGUAGAUAUUAGGAAGAACACCAGUGGCGAAGGCGACUUUCUGGACGAAAACUGACGCUGAGGCGCGAAAGCCAGGGGAGCGAACGGGAUUAGAUACCCCGGUAGUCCCUGUCUCUUAUACC
This 303-nucleotide ribosomal RNA is filed under the name uncultured bacterium. Its description in RNAcentral is "partial 16S ribosomal RNA". It matches the Rfam family "Bacterial small subunit ribosomal RNA", at positions 507 to 808 of the family's 1533-position model. The record is from RNAcentral.